UGGGGAAUAUUGGACAAUGGGGGCAACCCUGAUCCAGCGAUGCCGCGUGUGUGAAGAAGGCCUGCGGGUUGUAAAGCACUUUAGUUGGGGAGGAAAGGUAUGUACUGCAUAAGUGCAUGCUGUGACGUUACCCAAAGAAUAAGCACCGGCAAACUCUGUGCCAGCAGCCGCGGUAAUACAGAGGGUGCAAGCGUUAAUCGGACUUACUGGGCGUAAAGGGCGCGUAGGCGGCAAUUCAAGUCAUCUGUGAAAUCUCCGGGCUUAACUCGGAACGGUCAGAUGAUACUGCUUUGCUAGAGUGCAGAAGGGGCAAUCGGAAUUCUUGGUGUAGCGGUGAAAUGCGUAGAUAUCAAGAGGAACACCUGAGGUGAAGACGGGUUGCUGGGCUGACACUGACGCUGAGGCGCGAAAGCCAGGGGAGCAAACGGGAUUAGAUACCCCCGUAGUCCCUGAGCGGGCUGGCAAGGCGCAU
RNAcentral lists this ribosomal RNA (472 nucleotides) under uncultured bacterium. RNAcentral describes it as "bacterial SSU rRNA". It matches the Rfam family "Bacterial small subunit ribosomal RNA", at positions 355 to 825 of the family's 1533-position model. The record is from RNAcentral.